UCUCAGGGGUACAAAUGAUGUCCUGUUCUGUUACUGACUCUGAAGUGAGGAUAAAGUAUACCUGAGGAGA
This is a small nucleolar RNA of Lepus europaeus (European hare), 70 nucleotides long. Lineage: Eukaryota; Metazoa; Chordata; Mammalia; Lagomorpha; Leporidae. The record is from RefSeq and is a predicted model, not a curated record.